GAUGAAGAACGUAGCGAAAUGCGAUAAGUAGUGUGAAUUGCAGAAUUCAGUGAAUCAUCGAAUCUUUGAACGCACAUUGCGCCCCUUGGUAUUCCAUGGGGCAUGCCUGUUCGAGCGUCAUCUACACCCUCAAGCUCUGCUUGGUGUUGGGCGUCUGUCCCGCCCCCGCGCGUGGACUCGCCCCAAAUCCAUUGGCAGCGUUCCUUGCCCCCUCUCGCGCAGCACAUUGCGCUUCUCGAGGGCGGCUCCGGGACGCGAUCCAGCAAGAUGACCACCGUCUUUGACCUCGGAUCAGGUAGGGAUACCCGCUGAACUUAAGCAUAUCAAUAAGCGGAGGA
RNAcentral lists this unclassified non-coding RNA (338 nucleotides) under soil metagenome. RNAcentral describes it as "partial contains 5.8S ribosomal RNA, internal transcribed spacer 2, and large subunit ribosomal RNA". The stretch from base 1 to 120 matches the Rfam family "5.8S ribosomal RNA", at positions 35 to 154 of the family's 154-position model. The record is from RNAcentral.